This 253-nucleotide ribosomal RNA is filed under the name uncultured bacterium. RNAcentral describes it as "partial 16S ribosomal RNA". It matches the Rfam family "Bacterial small subunit ribosomal RNA", at positions 524 to 776 of the family's 1533-position model. The record is from RNAcentral.
UACGGAGGAUGCAAGCGUUAUCCGGAAUGAUUGGGCGUAAAGCGUCCGCAGGUGGCAAUGUAAGUCUGCUGUCAAAGCGUCUGGCUCAACCAGAUAAAGGCAGUGGAAACUACAUAGCUAGAGUAAGGUAGGGGUAGAGGGAAUUCCUGGUGUAGCUGUGAAAUGCGUAGAGAUCAGGAAGAACACCGGUGGCGAAAGCGCUCUGCUGGACCUAAACUGACACUGAGGGACGAAAGCGAGGGGAGCGAAUGGG